UUUAUCUCCAAUAUGUGCUACAUGUAUUAUCUGACAGAUAUGAUCAUUCCAAAUCUUAUCAUCAUCAUGUUAUCAAACAUUCAUCUUAACAUUCACACUUCUGCCACACUCAUCUUAUUGGAAUGUCACUUCUUAGAUGCCCCUAUCAUAGCUAACAAAAUUUUUUAAAACAACAUAGCUUAUGAAAAUUGCAAUACAAACUGGCUGUAGCUAGAAGAAUUUAUGCUUGAGGGAUUUUUUUUUUAAGGAACAAAAAAAAGAUAUUUAUAGAAGGAAGGGGAAGGGGAGCAGUGGGAGAACCUAUAACCAUGUAUUAGAAAAUAGUGAAAAUAUAUUUAACCCUAUAACUUUUUUAAAAAGUAAUUUCAAACCAAACAGAUUAUAUUUAUUUUAUGAAUGUGGAGAAUUUCUAAAUUUGACCCCUCUUAAUAAGUUUGAGCUUCCUACCACAAACUUGUGUAACUUUGUUUUUGAUGUUAUACCAUUUGUGCACAAUUUAAACUCCAUUUAUAUUCACUCCAUUAAAUUGCGUAGAUAAUGGGAAUAUUAACGAGCGAAAUUCAAAUAUAAACAUAUAAUAACAGAUAAAUAGUAUAAUCACAUUAUACUUAAGAAUAAAAAAGCAUAUCCUAAGCAUGCAAAUACAUUGGUGAUGGCUGGUACAUAAUGCUUCAAUAUUGAAGAAUAUCAUUGGUGACACUCUUUCUUAGGCCAUCUAGAAAGGUUGAGGCCAUUUACUGUAUUAAUAUUUUUCAAGAGUUAAAAAAGAAUAAUUUUCAAGCAGUUUAAGUUCAAUGAGUAGGGAUAAUUUUCCUCAGGCCUGUCCUGCUUCUUCAUAUAAGAAUCAAAUUCAUUCAGUUUAAUGACUGAGAGCUCAUACAAACAUCUUCAUAAUUUAGCAGGGUGAGCCCAUAUUAAGAAAAUUAACUAAAUUUAUUAUGACUACCUAUUAAUAAAUACAAAAUGAAAUACUAAAAUUGUUGCCAAGAAACUAGUAUCAAUUGCACUAUGGAAUACCAUAUUCAUUUGUAUGAAGUAAUGACCCAAGUGAAACAACUUAUGGUAGAUAGAUGAAUUUAUAAAAUCUCCAAGAUCAGUAAUUUCGAUUGUUAUAAACCCUGGAAACAGCAUAAUUUAGAAGCCAUUUUUAAUUACCUUGUCUUUGACUAGACCACCAGAUGUGAAAACACCGGCAUUCUCCAAAGCUGCAAGAACCUUUUGCUACAGAAAGUUGUUCAUGAUAUGAAUGAUAAGAGAAAUAUAGCAAACAUAACUGAUAAAAUGAAAAAAAAAAGCUUGGAAAGAAAUUAAACCAUUGACAGUUAAUGGAACUACGUUAGUAAAAGCAAACACUUGAUUGACCAACAGUCACCCAAGUAGGAAAAAAAUCCUUAAAGUUUUCCAUCUAUAUGCAAAAAAUAAUUAGCAUGCUCAAAACUAAAUGAAUAGAUGAGUAAAUGAAUAAAAUAAAACCAUUAACACAUCAAGUAAAAGCUUAAGAAAAGGUCCUAAUAAUAUCUCAUGCUGUCACGCAUCUAUCUCAGAAUAAUGCAAAAAUAUCUGAUAUAUAGCUAUAUCAUCAAUGAAUAACAACAAAUUCUUGUAGUUAUUUGUUUUCCAGCAUAAAUAUUUAAAUAUACCAUGUAAAAUAUGGCAGCAAUUAAUCGUACUGAUGCAUACAAAUCAACUCUAAAAUGAAAUGGAUUCUAAGUUAACACCACCAUCAGCUCAAGCUUCAAAAAUUUCUAAGGUAUCUUAAAUACAUUCAAGGAAAAUCAUAACAGAUCUUAUAAUAAAUUCACUAAAAACAUAUUAAUAUGAAUAUAUCCAACAAUAGGAAAGUUGGGAAUAUUAUUCCAGUACAUUGUUUGAAACAUCCAGCUAAUUUUUAGAAUAAUUAACUAUUAAAAUUGAUCCAGGGUUCAUGCACGAGUAAUUUUUGGGAAUAAAUGACAUAAGUGCACAUGGUAAAGGUGGGAGAUGUGAACACUAUCACAGGCAAGCAUUAUGAAAAUAAGAAAAAGUAUACUAGCAUAAUGAAACACAAUCACCCAUGAUGGAACAUAGUUGAGCAAAAUUGAUAAUCUUCAGUAUUUGAAAAGAUACUUUUUUACCCAACAGAGUUUGCACUUACUUCACUCUCAUCAUCGAGAACU
RNAcentral lists this unclassified non-coding RNA (2156 nucleotides) under Hevea brasiliensis (rubber tree). Lineage: Eukaryota; Viridiplantae; Streptophyta; Magnoliopsida; Malpighiales; Euphorbiaceae. The record is from RNAcentral.